This is a long non-coding RNA of Pundamilia nyererei, 228 nucleotides long. RefSeq lists it as uncharacterized. The record is from RefSeq and is a predicted model, not a curated record. The transcript is spliced from 3 exons. NCBI's taxonomy places the organism in Eukaryota, Metazoa, Chordata, Actinopteri, Cichliformes, Cichlidae.
AGGUCUCCAUAUCUUGUCGGAACGCUUAUUGGGAGCACCGGCGUCGCGCUUUCUGGUGGAGGUUCCUGUGAAACAUGCCGAAGUUUUACUGUGACUACUGUGAUACCUACCUUACACAUGAUUCGCCGUCAGUGAGGAAAACCCACUGCAGUGGCCGAAAGCACAAAGAAAAUGUGAAAGAUUACUACCAGAAAUGGAUGGAGGAGCAAGCACAGAGUCUGAUUGAUA